AGUCACUGACAUUAGAUACCCGUGUAGUCCAGGGUGUAAACGCUGCAGACUUGGUGUUGGAAGCCCGUUUGGGGGCAUUCAGUGCCGGAGAGAAGUUGUUAAGUCUGCUACGUUGGGAGUACGUCCGCAAGGAUAGAAACUUAAAGGAAUUGGCGGGGGAGCACCGCAACGGGAGGAGCGUGCGGUUUAAUUGGAUUCAACACCGUAAACUCACCAGGGAAGACUGUUACAUGAAGGCCGAGAUGAAGACUCUGCUAGAUUUUCAG
RNAcentral lists this ribosomal RNA (266 nucleotides) under uncultured archaeon. RNAcentral describes it as "partial 16S ribosomal RNA". It matches the Rfam family "Archaeal small subunit ribosomal RNA", at positions 717 to 982 of the family's 1478-position model. The record is from RNAcentral.